This 303-nucleotide ribosomal RNA is filed under the name Triticum aestivum (bread wheat). RNAcentral's name for it is "partial small subunit ribosomal RNA". Lineage: Eukaryota; Viridiplantae; Streptophyta; Magnoliopsida; Poales; Poaceae. The record is from RNAcentral.
AUGGCCAGUUCCAUGAUGAGGGAAAUAGAAUCUUUCUGGUCACAAUGUGAUGCGGGUGGUUAUGGCACCAACAUGUGCCCAAUCCAAAGAGUCCCAGAACACAUUCGAGAGGUUGACCGUGUGUCCUACGAACCCAUUGUUAUAUCAUUUGGCCCGUAUCACCAUGGAGGCCAUCACUUUCAAUAUAUGGAGAAGAAAAUAUGGGAACAUUUAGACAGGGUACUAAAACUGAACCGUAAUAAAGCUCUGAAUGAUUACAUUAAAGCAAUAGCCAAACUAGAGAAGCAAGCAAGGAAAUGCUAG